UACGAGGGGGGCAAAUGUUGUUCGGAAUCACUGGGCGUAAAGGGAGCGUAGGCGGGUUUCUAAGUCAGGUGUUUAAUCCCGGGGCCCAACCCCGGACAGGCACUUGAAACUGGGAAUCUUGAAUAGUGGAGAGGUCAGUGGAAUUGGGGUGUAGCGGUGGAAUGCGUAGAGAUCCCCAAGAACACCAGUUGCGAAGGCGGCUGACUGGACACAUAUUGACGCUGAGGCUCGAAAGCAUGGGGAGCAACAGG
RNAcentral lists this ribosomal RNA (251 nucleotides) under uncultured bacterium. RNAcentral describes it as "partial 16S ribosomal RNA". It matches the Rfam family "Bacterial small subunit ribosomal RNA", at positions 524 to 775 of the family's 1533-position model. The record is from RNAcentral.